GAUACUAGAGUCUCAAAGGAUUACCCACUCUUCAACUUGUUGUAAGAGGGGGUAAGUCCUUGAGACUCGUACAGACAUGAGUACGUAGCCAUUUUCCGCAAGGAAAAUGCGCGGAGUACGAAUGCCUGUACGGAUUGCGGGAGCACGCAGUGCGGAGCAAUCCGCAGUAU
Molecule: small RNA, 170 nt
Filed under: Lachnoanaerobaculum orale
Lineage: Bacteria; Bacillati; Bacillota; Clostridia; Lachnospirales; Lachnospiraceae
Description: Clostridiales-1 RNA
Rfam family: Clostridiales-1 RNA
Source: RNAcentral